GGCAAACGCAGAGCACGGAGGACAGGGCCGGGCGACCUGGGCACCAGCAGGACCCGAGGCCAGGAGCCAGGGGCCCAGAAGGAGGAGUGUGGCAUUCAGUUCCAAUGUCAUCGUGUGGAAAAGAGUCCCUGCCUGGCUGAGAAACUGUCACAGGCAGCCGGGCCACUUCCCAGCAUGACCCACAAGCCUGAUGGUGCCCCUCGAGUGGUUAAGGGACCCGUACAGAUACCAUUCUUUCAAAGCAAGCCGACGCAAUCUUCACGAAUUACAGUUCCACCCUGGCUGCUGGCACUAACUCUAAUAAUAGAAAAAAAUUUAAAAGAUUGGGGACAACAGGAAACACAUUGGAUCCCCGGGGAAACGGCCUGGAAGCUACAGUAGAGACGUGGGUGACCCAAGGGCUCUGUUCAAGUCCUGGGGCUGUUCCCUUUAUUCCUCCAAGCCUCAGCUCCCCAGAUUUAAAGUGAGAACAGCACCCAGCCCAGCCCACUGUCAAGGGCUGUUGCAGGAAUAUGACAACAGCCACCAAUAUUUGCAUAGCAGAGAUGCCCAGUUUCAUUUUCUAUUUGAAAGUUUCUCUGAAGGGGGAUGUGCUGGAGACAUGAGAACAACUGCUAUCAUCUUAAUAACUUUUCUGGCAAUACACGACGAUGAUUGUUUAUGUUAAUCUCAUAACUAUUAACAAUAAUUCAUUUCAUUCUCAUAAUGAAUUAUAUCUGACUUAUAAUAAAUAUAAUCAUAUCAGUAAUAUAGUCCUUUUCUGAUCAUGAAAGCAACAUAUGCUCACUAUAGAAAAUUUGGAAAAUACAGAAAAAUGCACAUAAGGGAAAAAUUAUUCAUCCUUUCUCCCACGCAGAGACAAGCUCUGGUCACACUUUCCUGUGUUUCUUUCCAGGCUCUGCUCUCUGCCGAGCGGCUUUCAUCAAUUCUCCUAGCAUCUAUUUUCAGAUAACUCCGUGGGCUUUUGUGAUUGGUCCUCCUUGUCGCCUUGGCCCUUCUGGUCCUCAGUGGCAGUUCUUUCUCUCUUGCUGCCUCCUUCAGGAGGGCCCGGCUGAGGGUCUGGGUGUUCAGGGAGAAGACCUCAGGCUCCACGGCACCCAGCCUCCUUGUCCUGCUGUGCUGGGAGCCCUGUUGGGGCAGCCCAGACACAUGGCCAGCACAGCCCCACGGCAAAGCCAGGCCUGCAGGUGGGCUCAGGGCGUCAGGGAGCCGGAGCGAGUGGCAUGAAACCCAUUAUCUCGCAGGGCCCGAGCUGUGGAGGUGAGCGCGCUAGGCCUUCCCGUGCAGGAGAGGGCUGGGAGGUGGGAAGAUGCAGGCAGGCCAACCCUGACAGAAAACCCACGAACACUGCAGCAUGGAUUGGGGGGUGGGGGACGCGGAGAGAGUGUAAAAAGCAGCUUCAAUGCUUGAAUUCUAAGCAAAGAAAGAUGCUCGGGCCAAAUAAAACAAACCACUUCUUAGACGUGCAAAAUUUCGUCGGAACUGAUGGGCUAAUGUUUCCAAGGUGUUCAGCUUUAUGGCCCUGACUUACACCCGCCGCGUGGUUGGGGGUUAGUGCCAAGUGGCUUGGUAGGCAGAAAUCCACCAGAACUUCAGUGCAAGGGCACAAUCCCCCAAUACCAUGUCACAAUCAUGCACGUGCCUGGGCCGACCCCACAAGACCGUCAGGAAAAAAGUUCCACAGAACCAGGUCUCUGGAGGGGGAACCACACAGACCUCCCUAUUGCCUUCUGAGUAACUGAUCCAAAGGCAUUUCUAGAAUAGCCGGGUACGUUCGUGAUAGGAGAAAUGAAGUCUAUGGGGUCUACCUUUACCCCCUUAGAAUAAUGCAGUGGCCUCAACGUCUUAACAAUAGAUCAUUUGAGAUUUAUUAAUAACCCAAGUUGCAGACAAACUUCAUAGGCAAGAUCAUAGGUUGCAGUGUUCACUACAGUAUAGAAAUAUUAGCAAGACACGACAUAGGGAAUCAUAGGGGACAUGACAGUAAAUUAUCCCACAGUGAAAUAAUGGAACAUUGUGUCACCCUUAAAACGGUGGUGACAUUUUGGGAGGCCAAGGCGGGUGGAUCACCUGAGGUCAGGAGCUCGAGACCAGCCUGGGCAACAUGGUGAAACCCCGUCUCUACUGAAAAUACAAAAA
Molecule: long non-coding RNA, 2139 nt
Organism: Pongo pygmaeus (Bornean orangutan)
Lineage: Eukaryota; Metazoa; Chordata; Mammalia; Primates; Hominidae
Exons: 2
Source: RefSeq, a predicted model, not a curated record